This 237-nucleotide ribosomal RNA is filed under the name Triticum aestivum (bread wheat). RNAcentral's name for it is "partial small subunit ribosomal RNA". Lineage: Eukaryota; Viridiplantae; Streptophyta; Magnoliopsida; Poales; Poaceae. The record is from RNAcentral.
AUGAGCACUUUGCUUCGUCUUUUGCCUCCUGCCGAGUUCGGGUGGCCCCUGCUCAAGCCGCCAAGACCGCAGUCAAAUGUCCGUGUACGACUACGCAAAUACACAAGUCUUCCUGAGCUCACUUGGCCACAAAGUACCACGACGCCUGAAGACCUCGGAUUCAUCAAGUUCCCACGACAACUUAAGUGUACCCUUCGGAUCGCCAAGUUCCACUACCGUCGCCAAAACUUGAGAUGA